Molecule: transfer RNA, 71 nt
Filed under: Anaerolineae bacterium
Lineage: Bacteria; Bacillati; Chloroflexota; Anaerolineae
Also listed under: 1 other name
Description: tRNA-Gly
Rfam family: tRNA
About the family: Transfer RNA (tRNA) molecules are approximately 80 nucleotides in length. Their secondary structure includes four short double-helical elements and three loops (D, anti-codon, and T loops).
Source: RNAcentral
GCGGGCAUGGUGUAGCGGUAACACUACAGCCUUCCAAGCUGUCAUCACGGGUUCGAGUCCCGUUGCCCGCU